Molecule: ribosomal RNA, 253 nt
Filed under: uncultured bacterium
Lineage: Bacteria
Description: partial 16S ribosomal RNA
Rfam family: Bacterial small subunit ribosomal RNA
Source: RNAcentral
UACGGAGGAUCCAAGCGUUAUCCGGAAUCAUUGGGCUUAAAGGGUCCGUAGGCGGUUUAAUAAGUCAGUGGUGAAAGCCCAUCGCUCAACGGUGGAACGGCCAUUGAUACUGUUAAACUUGAAUUAUUAGGAAGUAACUAGAAUAUGUAGUGUAGCGGUGAAAUGCUUAGAGAUUACAUGGAAUACCAAUGGCGAAGGCAGGUUACUACUAAUGGAUUGACGCUGAUGGACGAAAGCGUGGGUAGCGAACAGG